GAUGAACGCUAGCGGCAGGCCUAACACAUGCAAGUCGAACGGUAACAUAAAGUGCUUGCACUUUGAUGACGAGUGGCGCACGGGUGCGUAACGCGUAUACAAUCUACCUUUUACAGGGGGAUAGCCUUUAGAAAUGAAGAUUAAUACCCCAUAGUAUAUGAUGUGGCAUCACAAUAAUAUUAAAGAUUCGUCGGUAAAAGAUGAGUAUGCGUUCUAUUAGCUAGAUGGUUUGGUAACGGCAGACCAUGGCAACGAUAGAUAGGGGCCCUGAGAGGGGGAUCCCCCACACUGGUACUGAGACACGGACCAGACUCCUACGGGAGGCAGCAGUGAGGAAUAUUGGACAAUGGAGGCAACUCUGAUCCAGCCAUGCCGCGUGCAGGAAGAC
This 388-nucleotide ribosomal RNA is filed under the name uncultured bacterium. Its description in RNAcentral is "bacterial SSU rRNA". It matches the Rfam family "Bacterial small subunit ribosomal RNA", at positions 28 to 412 of the family's 1533-position model. The record is from RNAcentral.